Scylla paramamosain (green mud crab) is the source of this 849-nucleotide long non-coding RNA. RefSeq lists it as uncharacterized. NCBI's taxonomy places the organism in Eukaryota, Metazoa, Arthropoda, Malacostraca, Decapoda, Portunidae. The record is from RefSeq and is a predicted model, not a curated record. The transcript has 4 exons.
UUCAUUUGUUUUAGAGAUGUGUCAGGCGUUCUGAUAGAGGCUCACUGUCAUUUGUUAAUAUGGCUACCCAGUGGAGGGAGGUAAAGUGAACAGUGCCAUUGUUCAGCAGGAUAAGUCACUAUGUGAGAUAUUUAGCAACAACAGUGGUUAAGAUGCGAUAUACAGACAUAAGGAAGAGGUUCCUUUAAGGAAGCCGCCAAACUACCAUUUCCAUCGCCCAGAGAAUCUUCACACCAAAUCGACAGCCACAGUCUGAGCAUGUCCGGCCUGACCCCUGACAGCACAUCCCCCACCUUACCCCUCACUGGGUCAAGAGGGCCACCACUGGAGGCAUACAUGUCAAGUCAAUACAUGUAACAAUAACACAGCAAUGGAUCUCCACACAUCAGUGCAGUGGAGGCACUUACAGAGGAGCAAUAUAAGACUCACUGGAGGCACCGACUGGGAGGAGGGACAUUGCUGGUGCAUAAUAUCUCUACCACUGUUGAGGAUGUGAACUGGAAGGAAAAAUAGGGAUGCUAACUGGAAUUAUAACACUGGAAGGAAAAAUAAAGAUGCUAACUGGAAUUACAACACUGGGAAUAACUUGCCACCAGUGAAAGGUGAGCCUCCCCCAACUUGCAGGGUGUCACCAGCUGGCUCAGAAAAACCCACAAGACGGGUCCCCCGGGGAACAGCCUUCCUUACAGUUUGAGACGGUGCUCUGGUCUUCCCUUGGUGGUCCUUGCUGUCUCCCUGCAGUCCUCUUUGUCAUCCUCCCUUCCUGCAAGAAAAUUCCUGAUUAUAUCAUUCUAAUCCCAUUUCCUGCAAGAUAACUCCAUGUUAUACAAAAUAAACUUACAACUUCUA